This 509-nucleotide ribosomal RNA is filed under the name Aulonogyrus striatus. RNAcentral's name for it is "partial 16S ribosomal RNA". The stretch from base 386 to 509 matches the Rfam family "Bacterial large subunit ribosomal RNA", at positions 2473 to 2597 of the family's 2925-position model. Lineage: Eukaryota; Metazoa; Arthropoda; Insecta; Coleoptera; Gyrinidae. The record is from RNAcentral.
CUCUUUUUGAUUUAUAUAUAAAGUAUAACCUGCCCACUGAUAUUUUUAACGGCCGCAGUAUUUUGACUGUGCAAAGGUAGCAUAAUAAUUAGUUUUUUAAUUAAAAGCUUGUAUGAAUGGUUGAACGAGGUAAAUUCUGUCUUUAAUUGAUUAAUUGUUGAAUUUAAUUUUUAAGUUAAAAAGCUUAAAUUUUUUUAAAAGACGAGAAGACCCUAUAGAUCUUUAUUAUUUAAUUUAAAAAAUUUAUUUAGAAAUUUAUAUGUUUUUUAGUUUUAAUAAUUUUAUUGGGGUAAUAUAAAGAUUUAAAAAAUUCUUUAUUUUAAAACCAUAAAUUUAUGAUUUAUUUGAUCCAAUUUUAUUGAUUAUAAGAUUAAGUUACCUUAGGGAUAACAGCGUAAUUUUUUUAAAGAGUUCUUAUCGAUAAAAAAGAUUGCGACCUCGAUGUUGGAUUAAAAGUAAUUUUAGGUGUAGAAGCUUAAAGUUUUGGUCUGUUCGACCAUUAAAUUUUU